This 506-nucleotide ribosomal RNA is filed under the name uncultured bacterium. RNAcentral describes it as "partial 16S ribosomal RNA". It matches the Rfam family "Bacterial small subunit ribosomal RNA", at positions 29 to 523 of the family's 1533-position model. The record is from RNAcentral.
AGUGAACGCUGGCGGUAGGCCUAACACAUGCAAGUCGAACGGCAGCACAGGAGAGCUUGCUCUCUGGGUGGCGAGUGGCGGACGGGUGAGGAAUACAUCGGAAUCUACUUUUUCGUGGGGGAUAACGUAGGGAAACUUACGCUAAUACCGCAUACGACCUACGGGUGAAAGCAGGGGAUCUUCGGACCUUGCGCGAUUGAAUGAGCGGAUGUCGGACUAGCUAGUUGGCGGGGUAAAGGCCCACCAAGGCGACGAUCCGUAGCUGGUCUGAGAGGAUGAUCAGCCACACUGGAACUGAGACACGGUCCAGACUCCUACGGGAGGCAGCAGUGGGGAAUAUUGGACAGUGGGCGCAAGCCUGAUCCAGCCAUACCGCGUGGGUGAAGAAGGCCUUCGGGUUGUAAAGCCCUUUUGUUGGGAAAGAAAUCCAGCUGGUUAAUACCCGGUUGGGAUGACGGUACCCAAAGAAUAAGCACCGGCUAACUUCGUGCCAGCCGCCGCCGUAA